This 169-nucleotide ribosomal RNA is filed under the name Microlepidotus inornatus (wavyline grunt). Its description in RNAcentral is "partial small subunit ribosomal RNA". Lineage: Eukaryota; Metazoa; Chordata; Actinopteri; Lutjaniformes; Haemulidae. The record is from RNAcentral.
CACCGCGGUUAUACGAGAGGCCCAAGCUGAUAGUCACCGGCGUAAAGAGUGGUUAAGAUUAAUUGAAUACUAAAGCCGAAAGCCCUCACAGCUGUUAUACGCACUCGAGGGUAAGAAGCCCAACUACGAAAGUGGCUUUACAACAUCUGAACCCACGAAAGCUAGGGCA